UACGGAGGAGGCAAGCGUUAUCCGGAAUUAUUGGGCGUAAAGCGUCCGCAGGGGGCACUUCAAGUCUGCCGUCAAAGACCGGGGCUUAACCCCAGAAAGGCGGUGGAAACUGAAGCGCUAGAGUGCGGUAGGGGUAGAGGGAAUUCCCGGUGUAGCGGUGAAAUGCGUAGAGAUCGGGAAGAACAUCGGUGGCGAAAGCGCUCUACUGGACCGCAACUGACACUGAGGGACGAAAGCUAGGGGAGCGAAUGGG
RNAcentral lists this ribosomal RNA (253 nucleotides) under uncultured bacterium. RNAcentral describes it as "partial 16S ribosomal RNA". It matches the Rfam family "Bacterial small subunit ribosomal RNA", at positions 524 to 776 of the family's 1533-position model. The record is from RNAcentral.